This 502-nucleotide long non-coding RNA is filed under the name Bos indicus x Bos taurus (hybrid cattle). RNAcentral describes it as "lncRNA (ENSBIXG00005000128.1)". Lineage: Eukaryota; Metazoa; Chordata; Mammalia; Artiodactyla; Bovidae. The record is from RNAcentral.
CUAACACUUUCACUUUUUCACUUUUAUGUAAUUAAUUAAAGCUGCAUAGGGCCUUCUUGUCUUAUUUUGUUAUUCCUUCCUCUUCACAGGAAGUUUCACCAAUUGAAAGAGAAACCCUUGUGUGGCCAUUCAUGUUUUGUACUGGUUUGGAACAUAGAGAAAGAUGGAAGUGUUUGAUGAAAUUGGGCAGAGAAAUCCUGACUGAGGAAGUUGGAGGACUACCAGGUCUUUGGAAAAUACAUCACACAUUCACCUGCUCAGAAUGAAAACAACCCAUACAUUCCACAGUGAAGAAAGAAUGUCAAGAGAAGCAUCGUCAGAGCUUUUGGAUAUUUCUUACCAUAUGAGGAGUUAAGUAGAGUCGAGUGAAUGUGGAAGCCUUCAUGAAAUUCAUGUAUUUUGUUAAUAUAAUUGAAAUUGUUUUAUGAUUUGGGAACUUACUGAUAAAGCUUUGUAAAACUACAGAUAAUAAACUAUAUUUAGUUACAUAUUGAAUAAGUCA